AGUGAACGCUGGCGGUAGGCCUAACACAUGCAAGUCGAACGGCAGCACAGGAGAGCUUGCUCUCUGGGUGGCGAGUGGCGGACGGGUGAGGAAUACAUCGGAAUCUACUUUUUCGUGGGGGAUAACGUAGGGAAACUUACGCUAAUACCGCAUACGACCUACGGGUGAAAGCAGGGGACCUUCGGGCCUUGCGCGAUUGAAUGAGCCGAUGUCGGAUUAGCUAGUUGGCGGGGUAAAGGCCCACCAAGGCGACGGUCCGUAGCUGGUCUGAGAGGAUGAUCAGCCACACUGGAACUGAGACACGGUCCAGACUCCUACGGGAGGCAGCAGUGGGGAAUAUUGGACAAUGGGCGCAAGCCUGAUCCAGCCAUACCGCGUGGGUGAAGAAGGCCUUCGGGUUGUAAAGCCCUUUUGUUGGGAAAGAAAUCCAGCUGGCUAAUACCCGGUUGGGAUGACGGUGCCCAAGGAAUAAGCACCGGCUAACUUCGUGCCAGCCGCCGCGGUAA
RNAcentral lists this ribosomal RNA (506 nucleotides) under uncultured bacterium. RNAcentral's name for it is "partial 16S ribosomal RNA". It matches the Rfam family "Bacterial small subunit ribosomal RNA", at positions 29 to 523 of the family's 1533-position model. The record is from RNAcentral.